AGAGUCCCCAGCGCCGAGGGAGCCUGGCGCUGGAGAAAGGUAAGUGUAUAACCCCUUCCUCCCCCUAGAGCCCGGCGGGAGGGGACCUAUUAAUACUAUAGUGCCUGGAAAACGAGUUUGUUUUUCAGGCACUAUAGUGGUACUUUAAGGACACAAGCAUUUUUUUUUGCGGUUUGUGUUCAACCUCAGUAUGCCUUUUUCUUAUUUAUUGCACCAACACGUUGUAUAUCGUUUUUUUAAAG
Pelobates cultripes (western spadefoot toad) is the source of this 242-nucleotide non-coding RNA. The record is from the annotation of a GenBank genome assembly. Lineage: Eukaryota; Metazoa; Chordata; Amphibia; Anura; Pelobatidae.